AUGUUGUUAAUCUGGAAAAAAUGGCAAAAUAAAUUACAAAUAAAUAAAAUUGACCCUUUCCCACUAGAAACAUUGGAAAAUAAGGACAAGACAUUCACAAAUCUAAUUAGGGCACUGAAGGAAAAUGGUUUCAAAAGGAUUGGGGACAUCAUGAAUCCCAAAGGAGAAAUACUAAAGUGGGAUAAAAUAAAAGAUAAAUGUGGUCAAGGGAACUGGAUAGCAUGGUUAGGUCUGUCCACUAAAGCCCAGGCCAUGAAAAGAAGAGAAGUAGUUGAAACCCCACUGGAUAGAAUAAUUAAAAGGAAAAUAGAAAUAGAUAAAGGAAUAACUGGGCUAUUGUAUGAUGUACUAAUCACAUUAACUUACAAUACAAAAAUAACCAUUAUAGAUAAUUGGAAACAGGAAAAAAACUUCACUGAGAAAUUAAUUGGGACUUGGAUUGACAAUAUUCAUAAAAUUAAGCAUAUAAGGAUUAAAGAAACACAAAGGAAAAUAAUAUCUAAAUGGUAUAGAACCCCACUCCAAGUAGCAUAUAUAACGGGAAAUACUUCAAAUAAGUGUUGGCAUAACUGUGGGGAAAUAGGUACAUUUUCCCACAUGUGGUGGGACUGUAGAAAAAUUCAGAACUUCUAUAGAAAAAUAAGAAAAAUAAUGGAAGAAAUAAUAGGGAAAGAAUUAAUAUGGGACAAAGCUAGAUACAUGUCUCUCACAGUAAAGGUAAUGGAAGAUAACAAUAAUUGGACAGAGAUUCUAAAAUAUAUGACAGCCGCAAUACAAGCCACGAUAACCCGAGGAUGGAGGGAUGAUACAAAAUGGGAUGUAGAAACCUGGUGGGCUUAUAUAUCAGAAUAUAUAAUUAACGAUUUCAUCAUUCAAAAGAAAAAUAUAUAUACAAAUAGCCUAAAAGAUCAAGACUGGUUAAGGAAAUGGAAUGUUCUAAUCAACAAAAUAGACGGAGACAAAAGAUACCGCACCUUGAACCAGGCGUUCCACACGAUUAAACUGAUGUAUUGA
Molecule: long non-coding RNA, 1014 nt
Filed under: Anolis carolinensis (green anole)
Lineage: Eukaryota; Metazoa; Chordata; Lepidosauria; Squamata; Anolidae
Description: lncRNA (ENSACAG00000036228.1)
Source: RNAcentral